ACUCAAAUGAAUAGACGGGGACCCGCACAAGCGGUGGAGCAUGUGGAUUAAUUCGAUACUAACCGAAGAACCUUACCCAGGUUUGACAUCGAGAGAAAAGCGAUGAAAGUCGCUCCUCCCCACAAGGGACUCAAAGACACUUGUUGCAUGGCUGUCGUCAGCUCGUGCCGUGAGGUGUACGGUUAAGUCCGCCAACGAGCGCAACCCUCGUCCUGUGUUACCAGCAUGAAAGAUGGGGACUCACAGGAGACCGCCGGUGUAAGCCGGAGGAAGGUGGGGAUGACGUCAAGUCAGCAUGGCAGUUACAUCUGGGGCUUCACACAUGCUACAAUGGGCGAAACAAAGGGCAGCGAUGACGCGAGUCGGAGCCAAUCCCAAAAAUACGUCCUCAGUUCAGAUUGCAGUCUGCAACUCGACUGCAUGAAGUCGGAAUCGCUAGUAAACGCAGGUCAGCUAUACUGCGUUGAAUACGUUCCCGGGUCUUGUACACACCGCCCGU
This 499-nucleotide ribosomal RNA is filed under the name uncultured bacterium. RNAcentral's name for it is "partial 16S ribosomal RNA". It matches the Rfam family "Bacterial small subunit ribosomal RNA", at positions 899 to 1397 of the family's 1533-position model. The record is from RNAcentral.